CGCUGAAAGAUGGCCUCGCGUCUGAUUAGAUAGUUGGCGGGGUAACGGCCCACCAAGUGACGAUCAGUAGCCGGACUGAGAGGGUGACCGGCCACAUUGGGACUGAGAUACGGCCCAGACUCCUACGGGAGGCAGCAGUGGGGAAUAUUGGGCAAUGGGCGCAAGCCUGACCCAGCAACGCCGCGUGAAGGAAGAAGGCUUUCGGGUUGUAAACUUCUUUUAAGUGGGAAGAGUAGAAGACGGUACCACUUGAAUAAGCCACGGCUAACUACGUGCCAGCAGCCGCGGUAAUACGUAGGUGGCAAGCGUUGUCCGGAUUUACUGGGUGUAAAGGGCGUGCAGCCGGGCAUGCAAGUCAGAUGUGAAAUCUCAGGGCUUAACCCUGAAACUGCAUUUGAAACUGUAUGUCUUGAGUGCCGGAGAGGUAAUCGGAAUUCCUUGUGUAGCGGUGAAAUGCGUAGAUAUAAGGAAGAACACCAGUGGCGAAGGCGGAUUACUGGACGGUAACUGACGGUGAGGCGCGAAAGCGUGGGGAGCGAACAGGAUUAGAUACCCUGGUAGUCCACGCUGUAAACGAUGGAUACUAGGUGUGCGGGGACUGACCCCCUGCGUGCCGCAGUUAACACAAUAAGUAUCCCACCUGGGGAGUAC
Molecule: ribosomal RNA, 651 nt
Filed under: uncultured bacterium
Lineage: Bacteria
Description: bacterial SSU rRNA
Rfam family: Bacterial small subunit ribosomal RNA
Source: RNAcentral